GUUAAGAGCUAGGGCUAGGACUUGGAGGAUGUGUAGGCAAACGGAAAGAGAGCCGGGGGAAGAAAAACCGAAAUGGAUUCAUUCUCUGUCCUGGAUGGAGGAGGAGAGGAGAAGAGAAGGGGACGUGCGAGCUUCCUUCAACUGCCUCUGUCCGGUGAAAAGUGCUCAGACCCCCGGGGCUGCGCCGGACUCCGGAGCCCGCGCGGACUUUCGCGUUGAGCUGCCAAUCAAACCGCUCGCAGCCACCACCCUGCUCUGGCACCGACAU
Unclassified non-coding RNA from Junco hyemalis (dark-eyed junco), 268 nucleotides. NCBI's taxonomy places the organism in Eukaryota, Metazoa, Chordata, Aves, Passeriformes, Passerellidae. The record is from Ensembl.